UACGAAGGGGGCUAGCGUUGCUCGGAAUCACUGGGCGUAAAGCGCACGUAGGCGGUUCUUUAAGUCAGGGGUGAAAUCCCAAGGCUCAAACUUGGAACUGCCUUUGAUACUGGGGAUCUCGAGUCCGGAAGAGGUGAGUGGAACUGCGAGUGUAGAGGUGAAAUUCGUAGAUAUUCGCAAGAACACCAGUGGCGAAGGCGGCUCACUGGUCCGGUACUGACGCUGAGGUGCGAAAGCGUGGGGAGCAAACAGG
RNAcentral lists this ribosomal RNA (253 nucleotides) under uncultured bacterium. RNAcentral's name for it is "partial 16S ribosomal RNA". It matches the Rfam family "Bacterial small subunit ribosomal RNA", at positions 524 to 776 of the family's 1533-position model. The record is from RNAcentral.